This 73-nucleotide transfer RNA is filed under the name Halisarca harmelini. RNAcentral's name for it is "tRNA-Ala". It matches the Rfam family "tRNA". From Rfam's summary of the family: Transfer RNA (tRNA) molecules are approximately 80 nucleotides in length. Their secondary structure includes four short double-helical elements and three loops (D, anti-codon, and T loops). Lineage: Eukaryota; Metazoa; Porifera; Demospongiae; Chondrillida; Halisarcidae. RNAcentral also lists the same sequence under 1 other name. The record is from RNAcentral.
GGGGUUUUAGCUCAAUUGGAAGAGCAUUGGCUUUGCAAGUCAAAGGUUACAGGUUCGAGACUUGUAAACUCCA